Molecule: unclassified non-coding RNA, 1386 nt
Filed under: Hevea brasiliensis (rubber tree)
Lineage: Eukaryota; Viridiplantae; Streptophyta; Magnoliopsida; Malpighiales; Euphorbiaceae
Source: RNAcentral
UCUUAAUUUUUUUUUUUUUAAUUCCACUUAGGGUGGUGGGGAUCCACUAGAGGGGGGAAGUUUUCCCUUGCCAGUGUAAAGGAUGGAGGGAGAGAAGUGCAUCCAUUGUUGAUUGGUGCUAGCUAGAUGUAAUUACGAUUUCGAUUUAGCUGUUCAAGUCAGUAACAAUUAGCUUGUUAUCUAAUUUUCUUUGUUCAAAACAGUUGUUUAGCGUUUCCUAAGCGUUCCUUUGUUGAUAACUAAUUUUCACAAGAACUAAAUGUUUCUAUACCCAAAGCCAGAGAAGAAAAUUUUUGGAAAAAAAGAAAAACAAUGGCAGGGGACGACAGAAGGUAGAAAUCUGAUGAACAUAAGGUUUUGGUCAUUGGAUUAUUGAUAUAGAUUCUGAUUACGAUGUUGCUUAGAGCCAAGCGAAUAUGUACCAGUCUCCCUUCUUUAGCAAGAGGAAAUACCUCCCUUUUCCAUUACCCUCUCGCAGUGAUCGGUGGCCAUCCCAGCCCUUAAGGGUUUGGAAGGCUCUUUACCAGCUGGGAGGAUGGAUUCUUCCCUCUCUUAACUCGGCUUGGGUAUGAAUAGGUUUUUGGUGAGUUUAGUUUGUUGUGGAUUGCAGGUCUAGCGCUCAAAAUGUGAGAGAUUUACGCAGAUUUGCUUGGUGAAGUUUCUACUAGUUUCUUCCUUGGGUUCUCUCGUCGGAUGACAAUCUCAAAGGCUAAAGGAGACUGAGAAGCCGAGUUUCUACCAUGCCUGUUCUCGGUUUGUCCUACAUCUCCACAGUUCCUUCCUCGAUUGAAGCAGUUGUUACGUAGCUUGCAUACCUCUGUUUCUCUCUGUUUGGGGUUGUUCUUCAUGGCUAAGCGACUCAAUAAGCCGUUACUUUGGUGAUGCCGGUGUUGUGUUUUUUUGAGUGAUCCAUGGCCCCGAUGGCGGUUGUGCAGUGCUGAGUUGGUCUCCCUAUGGGCAGCGGUGGUGUCGGUGUUGGAGUUUACUGGAAUGUGGGUUUUGGAUCUAAAUCCGGCGGUUGGUCUUUGAUUGUCCUUGUAUGUGUGGGCUUCUGGCCUUGUUUCUUUCUGGGCUUGAUAUAAGUAAUUUAACCAGGUGUUUUGAUUAGUGGGCUUUGAACCUGAGUCUUUGUGUCACCUAUUUAUCAUCAAAAUGAUAAUUCCAAUUUAGGGGACUACGUACCAGACGCCCAGGUCAUGGUCCAUACUUAACUUGUCCAGCAAUGAAAAAGAAAAGGAUCCUUUUUCGCCAGCCUGGGCUUUAAAACUCGUGUUGGCUUGCAAUUGCGUGCGUAACGCAACAUGUAUGAUAAUAAAAAAUCUUUCUGCUUCUAUCUUCCUUCCUCUCCCAUGAUUUAUCCAAACAGAAUGUAAAGAGCCAUUGAAU